This 502-nucleotide ribosomal RNA is filed under the name uncultured bacterium. RNAcentral describes it as "partial 16S ribosomal RNA". It matches the Rfam family "Bacterial small subunit ribosomal RNA", at positions 29 to 507 of the family's 1533-position model. The record is from RNAcentral.
AGCGAACGCUGGCGGCGUGCCUAACACAUGCAAGUCGAACGUGAAAGGGAGCAAUCCCAAGUAAAGUGGCGUACGGGUGAGUAACACGUAGGUAAUCUACCCCAGAAUCUGGAAUAACCGGCCGAAAGGCUGGCUAAUACUGGAUAGAGCGACGGAAUCCGUAAUUGGGUUUUUCGGGAAAGGGAGCCUGUAAAAAGGCCUUCGUUCUGGGAUGAGCCUGCGUCCCAUCAGCUAGUUGGUGAGGUAAAAGCUUACCAAGGCAAUGACGGGUAGCUGGUCUGAGAGGACGAUCAGCCACACUGGAACUGAAACACGGCCCAGACUCCUACGGGAGGCAGCAGUGGGGAAUCUUGCGCAAUGGACGAAAGUCUGACGCAGCAACGCCGCGUGAGUGAAGAAGGCCGUCGGGCUGUAAAGCUCUGUCGAGUGGGACGAAAAUGCUUGGAGUUCACAGCUCCAGGAACUGACGGUACCACUAAAGGAAGCACCGGCUAACUCCGUG